GAGUCGACCCCUAAGGCGAGGCCGAAAGGCGUAGUCGAUGGGAAACGGGUUAAUAUUCCCGUACUUGGUGUUACUGCGAAGGGGGGACGGAGAAGGCUAUGUUGGCCGGGCGACGGUUGUCCCGGUUUAAGCGUGUAGGUGUGUGUUCCAGGUAAAUCCGGUUCACUUUAACACUGAGGCGUGAUGACGAGGCACUACGGUGCUGAAGCAACAAAUGCCCUGCUUCCAGGAAAAGCCUCUAAGCAUCAGGUAACAUCAAAUCGUACCCCAAACCGACACAGGUGGUCAGGUAGAGAAUACCAAGGCGCUUGAGAGAACUCGGGUGAAGGAACUAGGCAAAAUGGUGCCGUAACUUCGGGAGAAGGCACGCUGACACGUAGGUGAAGUGAUUUACUCACGGAGCUGAAGUCAGUCGAAGAUACCAGCUGGCUGCAACUGUUUAUUAAAAACACAGCACUGUGCAAACACGAAAGUGGACGUAUACGGUGUGACGCCUGCCCGGUGCCGGAAGGUUAAUUGAUGGGGUCAGCGUAAGCGAAGCUCCUGAUCGAAGCCCCGGUAAACGGCGGCCGUAACUAUAACGGUCCUAAGGUAGCGAAAUUCCUUGUCGGGUAAGUUCCGACCUGCACGAAUGGCGUAAUGAUGGCCAGGCUGUCUCCACCCGAGACUCAGUGAAAUUGAACUCGCUGUGAAGAUGCAGUGUACCCGCGGCAAGACGGAAAGACCCCGUGAACCUUUACUAUAGCUUGACACUGAACAUUGAGCCUUGAUGUGUAGGAUAGGUGGGAGGCUUUGAAGUGUGGACGCCAGUCUGCAUGGAGCCGACCUUGAAAUACCACCCUUUAAUGUUUGAUGUUCUAACGUGGACCCGUAAUCCGGGUUGCGGACAGUGUCUGGUGGGUAGUUUGACUGGGGCGGUCUCCUCCUAAAGAGUAACGGAGGAGCACGAAGGUUGGCUAAUCCUGGUCGGACAUCAGGAGGUUAGUGCAAUGGCAUAAGCCAGCUUGACUGCGAGCGUGACGGCGCGAGCAGGUGCGAAAGCAGGUCAUAGUGAUCCGGUGGUUCUGAAUGGAAGGGCCAUCGCUCAACGGAUAAAAGGUACUCCGGGGAUAACAGGCUGAUACCGCCCAAGAGUUCAUAUCGACGGCGGUGUUUGGCACCUCGAUGUCGGCUCAUCACAUCCUGGGGCUGAAGUAGGUCCCAAGGGUAUGGCUGUUCGCCAUUUAAAGUGGUACGCGAGCUGGGUUUAGAACGUCGUGAGACAGUUCGGUCCCUAUCUGCCGUGGGCGCUGGAGAACUGAGGGGGGCUGCUCCUAGUACGAGAGGACCGGAGUGGACGCAUCACUGGUGUUCGGGUUGUCAUGCCAAUGGCACUGCCCGGUAGCUAAAUGCGGAAGAGAUAAGUGCUGAAAGCAUCUAAGCACGAAACUUGCCCCGAGAUGAGUUCUCCCUGAGACUUAGAGUCUCCUGAAGGAACGUUGAAGACGACGACGUUGAUAGGCCGGGUGUGUAAGCGCAGCGAUGCGUUGAGCUAACCGGUACUAAUGAACCGUGAGGCUUAACCUUACAACGCCGAAG
This 1578-nucleotide ribosomal RNA is filed under the name Salmonella enterica. Its description in RNAcentral is "bacterial LSU rRNA". It matches the Rfam family "Bacterial large subunit ribosomal RNA", at positions 1379 to 2925 of the family's 2925-position model. The record is from RNAcentral. Lineage: Bacteria; Pseudomonadati; Pseudomonadota; Gammaproteobacteria; Enterobacterales; Enterobacteriaceae.